RNAcentral lists this ribosomal RNA (253 nucleotides) under uncultured bacterium. RNAcentral's name for it is "partial 16S ribosomal RNA". It matches the Rfam family "Bacterial small subunit ribosomal RNA", at positions 524 to 776 of the family's 1533-position model. The record is from RNAcentral.
UACGGGGGGGGCAAGCGUUGUUCGGAAUUACUGGGCGUAAAGGGCUCGUAGGUGGCCAACUAAGUCAGACGUGAAAUCCCUCAGCUUAACUGGGGAACUGCGUCUGAUACUGGAUGGCUUGAGUUUGGGAGAGGGAUGCGGAAUUCCAGGUGUAGCGGUGAAAUGCGUAGAUAUAUGGAGGAAUACCGGUGGCGAAGGCGGCCUCCUGGCUCGACACUGACGCUGAGGUGCGAAAGCGUGGGGAUCAAACAGG